UACGUAGGGAGCAAGCGUUGUUCGGAGUUACUGGGCGUAAAGGGUGUGUAGGCGGUUCUUUAAGUUUGGUGUGAAAUCUCCCGGCUCAACCGGGAGGGUGCGCCGAAUGCUGAGGGACUCGAGUGCGGGAGAGGAAAGUGGAAUUCCUGGUGUAGCGGUGAAAUGCGUAGAUAUCAGGAGGAACACCGGUGGUGUAGACGGCUUUCUGGACCGUAACUGACGCUGAGACACGAAAGCGUGGGUAGCAAACAGG
RNAcentral lists this ribosomal RNA (253 nucleotides) under uncultured bacterium. RNAcentral's name for it is "partial 16S ribosomal RNA". It matches the Rfam family "Bacterial small subunit ribosomal RNA", at positions 524 to 776 of the family's 1533-position model. The record is from RNAcentral.